CCUACGGGUGGCAGCAGUGAGGAAUAUUGGUCAAUGGGCGCGAGCCUGAACCAGCCAAGUAGCGUGAAGGAUGACUGCCCUACGGGUUGUAAACUUCUUUUAUAAAGGAAUAAAGUGAGGCACGUGUGCCUUUUUGUAUGUACUUUAUGAAUAAGGAUCGGCUAACUCCGUGCCAGCAGCCGCGGUAAUACGGCGGGUCCGAGCGGUAUCCGGAGUUAUUGGGUUUAAAGGGAGCGUAGAUGGGUGGUUAAGUCAGUUGUGAAAGGUUGCGGCUCAACCGUCAAAUUGCAAUUGAUACUGGCAGUCUUGAGUACAGUUGAGGUAGGCGGAAUUCGUGGUGUAGCGGUGAAAUGCUUAGAUAUCACGAAGAACUCCGAUUGCGAAGGCAGCUUACUAAACUGCCACUGACAUUGAUGCUCGAAAGUGUGGGUAUCAAACAGGAUUAGAUACCCUGGUAGUC
This 460-nucleotide ribosomal RNA is filed under the name uncultured bacterium. RNAcentral describes it as "partial 16S ribosomal RNA". It matches the Rfam family "Bacterial small subunit ribosomal RNA", at positions 338 to 795 of the family's 1533-position model. The record is from RNAcentral.